CUACGGGUCGCUCCAGUUAAGAAUCUUCUGCAAUGCGCGAAAGCGUGACAGAGCGAGCCAGAGUGCUUUUCCAUUUGGAACAGCUUUUGCCAAAUGUAAAAAGUUUGGCGAAUAAGGAGUGGGCAAGACCGGUGCCAGCCGCCGCGGUAAUCCCGGCAGUCCAAGUCGCAGCCACAAUUAUUGGGUCUAAAACAUCUGUAGGUGGUUUAGCAAGUCUUCUGUGAAAUCCUAUAUCUUAAAUAUAGGGUGUGCAGGAGAUACUGCAUUGCUAGAGACCAGGAGAUGUAAGAAGUAAAAUUGAGGUAGUAGUAAAAUACAUUGAUCUUAAUAUGACUAACGACAGCGAAGGCAUCUUACAAGAAUGGAUCUGACAGUGAGAGAUGAAGGCUAGGGUCGCGAAAAGGAUUAGAUACCCUGGUAGUC
Molecule: ribosomal RNA, 423 nt
Filed under: uncultured archaeon
Lineage: Archaea
Description: partial 16S ribosomal RNA
Rfam family: Archaeal small subunit ribosomal RNA
Source: RNAcentral